GAUGAACGCUGGCGGCGUGCCUAAUACAUGCAAGUCGAGCGAACAGACGAGGAGCUUGCUCCUCUGACGUUAGCGGCGGACAGGUGAGUAACACGUGGAUAACCUACCUAUAAGACUGGGAUAACUUCGGGAAACCUGAGCUAAGACCGGGUAAUACAUUCACCCGCAUGGUCCAAUAGUAAAAGACGCUUUUGCUGUGCCUUAUGUAUGAUUCGGUGCUUCAUUGGCUAGUUGGUAAGGUACCGGCUGACAAAGGCGCGGAUGGCUAGCCGACCUGGCAGUGUGAUGGAGCACACUUGAACUGAUACACGGUCAAGACGCCACUGGGAGGCAGCAGUAGGGAAUCUGCCGGGAUGGGCGGAAGCCUGACGGAGCAACGCCGCGUGAGUGAUGAAGGUCUUCGGAUCGUAAAACUAUGUUAUUAGGGAAGAAAAAAUGUGUAAGUAACUAUGCACGUCUUGACGGUACCUAAUCAGAAAGCCACGGCUAACUACGUG
RNAcentral lists this ribosomal RNA (497 nucleotides) under uncultured bacterium. Its description in RNAcentral is "partial 16S ribosomal RNA". It matches the Rfam family "Bacterial small subunit ribosomal RNA", at positions 28 to 507 of the family's 1533-position model. The record is from RNAcentral.